GUGGGCGUUCCAAAUCCGAAGUUUAAAACACGGACUGCGCUCGGAGAAGCUUGGGGGAUUUUGUCUUCGGACGCGGGUUCGAUUCCCGCCGCCUCCACCA
Molecule: transfer RNA, 100 nt
Filed under: Thermosipho japonicus
Lineage: Bacteria; Thermotogati; Thermotogota; Thermotogae; Thermotogales; Fervidobacteriaceae
Description: tRNA-Pro
Rfam family: transfer-messenger RNA
About the family: Bacterial tmRNA, also known as 10Sa RNA or SsrA, is named for its dual tRNA and mRNA-like properties. Its role is to liberate the mRNA from a stalled ribosome.
Source: RNAcentral